GAUCUUCUCAGCUUAGCGGCUGAAGACUGACACUGCCCGAUCGCCUCGGAAGCCCACUAGACCAUCACGGACGCCGAGCUUCGGGUAACUCUCACAGUGGAAGGUAAGCCCGUCCCCUUCUUAAUCAAUACGGAGGCUACACACUCCACAUUACCUUCUUUUCAAGGACCUGUUUCCCUUGCCUCCAUAACUGUUGUGGGUAUUGACGGCAAGGCUUCUAAACCUCUUAAAACUCCCCAACUCUGGUGCCAACUUAGACAAUACUCUUUUAAGCACUCCUUUUUAGUUAUCCCCACCUGCCCAGUUCCCUUAUUAGGCUGAGACACUUUAACUAAAUUAUCUGCUUCCCUGACUAUUCCUGGACUACAGCUAUAUCUCAUUGCUGCCCUUCUUCCCAAUCCAAAGCCUCCUUUGCAUCCUCCUCUUGUAACACCCCACCUUAACCCACAAGUAUAGGAUACCUCUACUCCCUCCUUGGCAACCGAUCAUGCACCCCUUACCAUCUCAUUAAAACCUAAUCACCCUUACCCCCCAAUGCCAAUAUCCCAUCCCGUAGCACGCUUUAAAAAGAUUAAAGCCUGUUAUCACUCGCCUGCUACAGCAUGGCCUUUUAAAGCCUAUAAACUCUCCUUACAAUUCCCCCAUUUUACCUGUCCUAAAACCAGACAAGCCUUACAAGUUAGUUCAGGAUCUGCGCCUUAUCGACCAAAUUGUUUUGCCUAUCCACCCCGUGGUGCCAAACCCAUAUACUCUCCUAUCCUCAAUACCUGCCUCUAUAACCCAUUAUUCUGUUCUAGAUCUCAAACAUGCUUUCUUUACUAUUCCUUUGCACCCUUAAUCCCAGCCUCUCUUCACUUUCACUUGGACUGACCCUGACACCCAUCAAGCUCAGCAAAUUACCUAGGCUGUACUGCCACAAAGCUUCACAGACAGCCCCCAUUACUUCAAUCAAGCCCAAAUUUCUUCCUCAUCUGUUACCUAUCUCGGCAUAAUUCUCAUAAAAACACACGUGCUCUCCCUGCCAAUCGUGUCUGACUGAUCUCUCAAACCCCAGUACCUUCUAUAAAACAACAACUCCUUUCCUUCCUAGGCAUGGUUAGCGUGGUCAGAAUUCUUACACAAGAGCCAGGACCACACCCUGUAGCCUUUCUGUCCAAACAACUUGACCUUACUGUUUUAGCCUAGCCCUCAUGUCUGCGUGCAGUGGCUGCCACUGCAUUAAUACUUUUAGAGGCCCUCAAAAUCACAAACUAUGCUCAACUCACUCUCUACAGUUCUCAUAACUUCCAAAAUCUAUUUUCUCCUCAUACCUGAUGCAUGUACUUUCUGCUUCCCGGCUCCUUCAGCUAUACUCACUCUUUGUUGAGUCUCCCACAAUUACCGUUGUUCCUGGCCCAGACUUCAAUCCGGCCUCCCACAUUAUUCCUGAUACCACACCUGACCCCCAUGACUGUAUCUCUGAUCCACCUGACAUUCACCCCAUUUCCCCAAAUUUCCUUCUUUCCUGUUCCUCACCCUGAUCACCCUUGAUUUAUUGAUGGCGGUUCCACCAGGCCUAAUCGCCACACACCAGCAAAGGCAGGUUAUGCUAUAAUACAAGCCACUAGCCCGCCUCUUAGAACCUCUCAUUUCCUUUCCAUCCUGGAAAUCUAUCCUCAAGGAAGUAACUUCUCAGUGUUCCAUCUGCUAUUCUACUACUCCUCAGGGAUUAUUCAGGCCCCCUCCCUUCCCUACACAUCAAGCUCGAGGAUUUGCCCCCACCCAGGACUGGCAAAUUAGCUUUACUCAACAUGCCCUGAGUCUGAUAACUAAAAUACCUCUUAGUCUAGGUAGAUACUUUCACUGGAUAGGUAGAGGCCUUUCCUACAGGGUCUGAGAAGGCCACCGCAGUCAUUUAUUCCCUUCUGUCAGACAUAAUUCCUCAGUUUAGCCUUCCCACCUCAAUACAGUCUGAUAACAGACCAGCCUUUAUUAGUCAAAUCAGCCAAGCAGUUUUUCAGGCUCUUAGUAUUCAGUGAAACCUUUACAUCCCUUACGGUCCUCCGUCUUCAAGAAAAGUAGAACGGACUAAAGGUCUUUUAAAAACACACCUCACCAUGCUCAGCCACCAACUUAAAAAGGACUGGACAAUACUUUUACCACUUUCCCUUCUCAGAAUUUAGGGCUGUCCUCGGAAUGCUACAGGGUAUAGCCCAUUUGAGCUCCUGUAUAGACGCUCCUUUUUAUUAGGCCCCAGUCUCAUUCCAGACACCAGACCAACUUAGACUGUGCCCCCAAAAAAACUUGUCAUCCCUACUAUCUUCUGUCUAGUCAUACUCCUAUUCACCAUUCUCAACUACUCAUACAUGCCCUGCUCUUGUUUACACUGCCAGUUUACACUGUUUUUCCAAGCCAUCACAGCUGAUAUCUCCUGGUGCUAUCCCCAAACUGCCACUCUUAACUCUUGAAGUAAAUAAAUAAUCUUUGCUGGCAGAACUAUGCUGAAUCUCCUUAGGCACUCUCUAAUCAGAUAUCCUGAGUCGUCCCAAUUCUUAGACCUUUUAUACCGGUUUUUCUUCUUCUGUUUUUCCAUUUAGUUUCUCAAUUCAUCCAAAACCGUAUCCAGGCCAUCACCAAUCAUUGUAUACGACAAAUGUUUCUUCUAACAUCCCCACAAUAUCACCCCUUGCCACAAGACCUCCCUUCAGCUUAAUCUCUCCCACUCUAGGUUCCCAUGCUGCCCCUAAUCCCGCUUGAAGCAGCGCUGAGAAACAUUUCCCAUUCUCUUCUCUCCAUAUCACCCA
RNAcentral lists this long non-coding RNA (2783 nucleotides) under Homo sapiens (human). Its description in RNAcentral is "HSALNT0264535". Lineage: Eukaryota; Metazoa; Chordata; Mammalia; Primates; Hominidae. The record is from RNAcentral.